RNAcentral lists this long non-coding RNA (9853 nucleotides) under Brassica rapa (field mustard). RNAcentral describes it as "long non-coding RNA (BRAP_LNC007972)". The record is from RNAcentral. Lineage: Eukaryota; Viridiplantae; Streptophyta; Magnoliopsida; Brassicales; Brassicaceae.
AUGUGUUUCCAAAACCGGUGGCUGAAAAAACCCGCGUGACACCGCCUUAACCGCCUUCAACACAUUGUUGAAAUGGCGGCUAAUGGUUUCACAAGAGAGGUGGAACCUCUCUUGUAUAACUCUGAUUCGCUGAUUAUGACCUAUAAUGCUUAAGAAUAUAGCAACCUGCUCUUCCACCAGAACAGUGAUGGUAUCUCUCAGCAGUCCUUGCUCUCUAAAAGUGUCGGAUAGUUUGUGAAACAGACGUUUAUCCAUCCGAAGCACUUCCCUGCAAUCUUCAACAGGUCCUUGAAGCAAGUCUUUUAAAUAUGUACCUCUUGUAGAAGGCGAAGUUCCCGGAGGUUGGUUUACUAGACUUUGGUAGUAUAAGUAACCAGCAGCUGCAGCAACUAGCUCCAUCUCAUCUAGUUCUAAGUCUAAAUCGAUGCUACUAGUGGAGGAAUCUGAAAGUAUAGCCAAAAGUACCAGUCAGUGUUCUAAAAAUCGGUCUAUGCGGAGUCUAGCCGUCUGCUUAAGUGGCAAAUCGGAUUUAAAUGGUUUAAGUGUUUGUCCGACUAAUCAAUAAUCCUCUAUAAAGCUCCUAAUUACGGUCUAGCUAUUUUUUUAACAUUGGUAAUAAUGUAACUAAAUUAAUGUCAUUAUGAUCAGUGUUUGUACCAGUGACAAUAUCAAAUGUUUUAUUUCAAAUAUUGUUUCAAACACCUUGUAAGUUGUCUCCGUUCUUCUUAGUCAAAGCUGCUGCUCUCAUUUUGGAAGCUGCUGCGAGUUCUAGCAUGGCUUCAACUAUGGCAACACCACCAGCCUUGCGGUUUCUCCUGCGAGACGGUCCAGAACCACCAGAAGGUGCUGUCGGAAUACGCUUGUUGUGUCCGUUAAUGACGUGUACUUCGUCUCCAGAGCCGCCAGAGGAAAGUUCAUCAUCAUCAUCAUCACCAUCACCAGACAUCAUUCUUCAACAUGCAAAAACCAACGCAAGUGAUUCAGACAGAAGAGAAUGUGCGAAGCUUAGUACAAGACCUUAGCUCAAAGCAUCAAGUUUGAACAAGAAGAAGGUUUGGUUCUGAGAAAAAUUUGAGCGAUUGCUAAUGGCCUCGAACAUUAGGGAUUCUGACAAUUGAGUCCUGUCCCUUAGUUUUGUUUUCUUUUCAUUAGUCGCUCAAAACUUUCAACACUUUAUGUUUUUGGCGUCAUAUUUUAUCCGAUAUCAAAUUAGCCCAGAAUCCAAAAAUAUAAUUUAAUUUGUCUACUUGAGACGAUUAAUCAAGUGGCUAAUCUUCAAUAUCUCCACAAAAAAUAAUAAUUUAUCGACUUGAGAUGAUUAAUCAAGUGGCUAAUCUUCAAUAUCUCAGACUAAAGAUUAACAGAACCUCUUAAACUUAUUACUCAUGAUUCGCCAUGAGUUAAUCACACUGAUAAAUAAAAGAGAAUUGGAAAGAAGAAAGAAAAAUCCAAAGGGGAUUGAUUAUCUAUAAUCUUUACUAAAUUAACAAUCAAACCAUUUUUGCAUAAAGUUUACAAAAGAAAAGAACAAGAACACAAGAAGAGACUCAAAAGAAACUAUAAUCUCUAACAAUAGAUCAGAUAAAGACAUGAAAAGCUUUUUAUUUUCUCUUCAGCUGGGAGCCAAGAAAUGAACACGAGCAAGUGUGUACUCUUUCCCAGCAAUCCAAACACCAGUCUGUGACCAUUGUACAUCUUCCCAAUCCAGAUUCUCCUCCAACACCUGUUUCUCAAUUCCACAAACAUCAUCAUCAUCACUUGUUUUAUAAUUAACAAAAAAAUACAAGAAUUUUACUAAAUUAAUGUUAACCUCGACGUGAUCUGGUGGGAGUGGAAACCCGAUAUCCCGCAUAAGCUUCUGCGGGAGAGGUUUCUUACAUCGUGACCAACGGAAAACAUCAAUUACACUGUUGUCUGAAUCUGUAUCUGUUUUUUCACCGUCUGUUGUCACAUGAGGGAGAGGUUUCCUCCAUCGUAACCAACGGAAAACGUUUAAGGAAAACAUGACAGAGUUGUUAUUGUUAUCCAUCUCCUUAGCUUCUUCGGAUGAUGAGUGUUGUUGUUGGGAGGCUUGGAAUUCUUUCAUAGUCUUCUCUCCAGCGAAACAGAGCUCAUACCUAUUUGCCAUACAAAAGAGUUUGAUUUAGCAUGUAACAAUAUCUCAUUAAUGUUGUUUGAUAUAAACAUGUGUUUAAAUACCUGGAUGAAUGUGUUUCAAGGUACAAAACUUCUCCUUUCUUCAAGCGAGCAGAGGUGAAAAGAGGCUUUUUCAGACCCUUAUCGGCCACAGCGCUUAUGCUAUAUUUGAUCCUGCAAGAAACAAAAAAGAAAAGUAAAUCAAUGCGUGGGUAAAAAGUGAUCUUAGAAGGUAAAGAUUAUCUAAAGCAUUGUGCGGAAGUUUUCAGAGAGUUUACCAAGGUUCAUUGCAGAGGUUGUAUUGUAUUGUUACUUCUCGAACAAACCUUUGUUGCCGCUGACCAUUCUACAGAACGGUAAACAAGUCAUCAGUACUGAAACAUGUCUAAUCAAAUUUUGAAAUGCAAGUGAAGUGAGGGAUAGAGAAUCAGAGAUUUUAAAGUACCGAAGCUGCAGCUCUGGUGGUCAUAGACUUAUCAACAGCCAUUGGUGCAAGUGUUGGCUCUGAGGAGUGUGUAAGAGAGGGUUCCAGUUCUAUAGUUCCACCUCCUUUCUGAAAUAAAAACACCAGUAAGGACUUGAAAAAGAAUCCACUUUUUAAACUGGAUAUUAUGAACAUCCUGCCAAGGAAACAAGGAGGACAGAUAACAAAGAGAUGUCAAAUUAAUAACCUUAAGUAUAUAGCACCGCUCAACUUUGUAACUGCAUCCGAUUCCAGCUCCCCAUGAUCGAGAGCGGACAUUGUUCCUUAGCUUGGAGGUAUAGUCUUAAAAUAUAAUAUAUAUCGAAUAUAAAAAGUUAGUAUGAACAUGGAAAAGUCAAUAAAAGCACAAAGAUAAAAACCUAACUUACAAUCUUGUGACGGCAAGACUCUAAUGGUAGCACGCAACUCUUGCAAUGUCGGUGGAGGAGGGGAAGAUGUAGGACGACAAUAACCUGUAUGCAUGAGAACUAGAAGACAUACCAGAAUCAGUGUUAUGUUAGUUCAAAGCCAAGGCAUGAAAUGCAAAGAUUCUUUAGGACACGUACCAGCAACAAGAUCUGAAUCAUCUGUGUAUAUGUCUGUUCCCCAUAGCUGGCCACCUCUUACCUUCAUAAAAAUAAGCCAAAGGUCUCAAUAUACAAUAAAAAAAGAUUAUGAGAAAGUCUUUGGAUGUAUCUUCGUCUUACUCGGCGGUUAGUAGCAGUAACAUACUCAGCUGGAAUCUGAACUUCAAGAGUGGGGCCAUUACUUGCGAACUCACCACUUUUGUCAGGCUGAGAAGAUUCAUAUUCCUUCCACAAUUUAAUCAGUUCUUGCAUACAUUCCCCAACGUUGUAAACAACAACCGGAACCUCUGAUUCGCCUGGAUCAUUCAGUAAAACAAAAAUUCAACAAGCUGUCGCUCUGACCAAAACUAUGUUCCAUAUAAAAGUUGAUAAAAGCAGCAGAAACUUGAUACAUGUGAGCUCAACCUUAUACUAAUCUUAUACUUGAUAAAAAAAACAAUGCAGAGAUAUAAGCAACUUUAAGCAACACAAAUGAAGUAGCAUUGGGGAUUGAAACCGACUUUUUGGUCCAAUCAUUUUAUAUUUUAACAUUCUACCGUUACUCUGCAACCUAAAGGCAAGCCUAAGAAGGAAACCUCAUAGAUUAAUUAUCAAGUACAAGUGUGUCGCAGAUGACCAUCAUCAAUGCACAUAUAAAAACGAAUGCCAGUUUAACCGAUUAUUUUUCUUUCACUAUUGUUCACCAAGCAGUGCAAAUCGAUCCUUUCUCGAAGACAUAGUAACGAAUGAUUACCUUGUACCCUGCAAAGAAAACACACACACAAUCAAACAUGGAUGAUGCAUUAGAAACCAGAUUAGUGACUGACAAAAGUUUAAGGACUUAGACCAAUCAACUAACUUACAUGGUAAAAGAAACGAAGGGAAAAUAAUCUUCUUAACACAGAGAGUAAGGGAGGCGGCAGGGAAGAAUAUCAAAAGAGACGGCAAAUUUAGGUUUUCAAGGUGCAAAAUUUUCUUUACAGGCUUUUUAAAAGAAAAGAAAACAAUAAUGGUAAUGAGAUAUUCUCAACAAUAAUCAAUAUCGCCUGCAGAUUUUACUAAAUAUGUUCAAAUUUCAACCAAUCCUGGCGUCUCUACUCUCUCCAAAAGGUAAAAAAAAUUAUAGGAUUAAGCUAAGAUAUGAGAGGCUAAUACUAAUUAGACAGCGUCUAAUAUAAAUGCGUAAGACAAAGAGACGCACGCAACCUUCGUAGUUGUCCUGACUCCGUGAACGGACACGGUCGUGGUUUGUGGGCUGUCACAUAUUCCUCUUGUGCAGGUUUUGGCAGAUGCUUCACCGAGCUCUUUCUCGUUCUGUGAGACCUCUUCAGCAUCAGUCUCUAGCUCUCUUUUAAUAUGAUCUUUUUUUUCUUCUCCUUCUUUCUUUCUCCAUCGUUCUGCUCCACCCUCUCUCUCGUUUCCCACCUAUCGGUUUAUUUUUCUUCGCUUCCAGUCUCUUUUGGUUCGCUCAUGACACACUAUCAGCAAACAUUGAUCCUCUGCGGUCAUUUCUAUCCUUAUCACGGGAUGCAACACACAGAUCCACAUUUGCGUUUGAACCUUCACCUCUCUUCCCUCUAUGUUAAUCCUUCUACUCUUUCCAAGCCAAGUGAGCAUGCCCAUCCUUAGUCUCAGCCUUUGUGUCGUUAUAGUUUCUGACCCUCCCUAUCAACACAUUGUUGAAAUGGCGGCUAAUGGUUUCACAAGAGAGGUGGAACCUCUCUUGUAUAACUCUGAUUCGCUGAUUAUGACCUAUAAUGCUUAAGAAUAUAGCAACCUGCUCUUCCACCAGAACAGUGAUGGUAUCUCUCAGCAGUCCUUGCUCUCUAAAAGUGUCGGAUAGUUUGUGAAACAGACGUUUAUCCAUCCGAAGCACUUCCCUGCAAUCUUCAACAGGUCCUUGAAGCAAGUCUUUUAAAUAUGUACCUCUUGUAGAAGGCGAAGUUCCCGGAGGUUGGUUUACUAGACUUUGGUAGUAUAAGUAACCAGCAGCUGCAGCAACUAGCUCCAUCUCAUCUAGUUCUAAGUCUAAAUCGAUGCUACUAGUGGAGGAAUCUGAAAGUAUAGCCAAAAGUACCAGUCAGUGUUCUAAAAAUCGGUCUAUGCGGAGUCUAGCCGUCUGCUUAAGUGGCAAAUCGGAUUUAAAUGGUUUAAGUGUUUGUCCGACUAAUCAAUAAUCCUCUAUAAAGCUCCUAAUUACGGUCUAGCUAUUUUUUUAACAUUGGUAAUAAUGUAACUAAAUUAAUGUCAUUAUGAUCAGUGUUUGUACCAGUGACAAUAUCAAAUGUUUUAUUUCAAAUAUUGUUUCAAACACCUUGUAAGUUGUCUCCGUUCUUCUUAGUCAAAGCUGCUGCUCUCAUUUUGGAAGCUGCUGCGAGUUCUAGCAUGGCUUCAACUAUGGCAACACCACCAGCCUUGCGGUUUCUCCUGCGAGACGGUCCAGAACCACCAGAAGGUGCUGUCGGAAUACGCUUGUUGUGUCCGUUAAUGACGUGUACUUCGUCUCCAGAGCCGCCAGAGGAAAGUUCAUCAUCAUCAUCAUCACCAUCACCAGACAUCAUUCUUCAACAUGCAAAAACCAACGCAAGUGAUUCAGACAGAAGAGAAUGUGCGAAGCUUAGUACAAGACCUUAGCUCAAAGCAUCAAGUUUGAACAAGAAGAAGGUUUGGUUCUGAGAAAAAUUUGAGCGAUUGCUAAUGGCCUCGAACAUUAGGGAUUCUGACAAUUGAGUCCUGUCCCUUAGUUUUGUUUUCUUUUCAUUAGUCGCUCAAAACUUUCAACACUUUAUGUUUUUGGCGUCAUAUUUUAUCCGAUAUCAAAUUAGCCCAGAAUCCAAAAAUAUAAUUUAAUUUGUCUACUUGAGACGAUUAAUCAAGUGGCUAAUCUUCAAUAUCUCCACAAAAAAUAAUAAUUUAUCGACUUGAGAUGAUUAAUCAAGUGGCUAAUCUUCAAUAUCUCAGACUAAAGAUUAACAGAACCUCUUAAACUUAUUACUCAUGAUUCGCCAUGAGUUAAUCACACUGAUAAAUAAAAGAGAAUUGGAAAGAAGAAAGAAAAAUCCAAAGGGGAUUGAUUAUCUAUAAUCUUUACUAAAUUAACAAUCAAACCAUUUUUGCAUAAAGUUUACAAAAGAAAAGAACAAGAACACAAGAAGAGACUCAAAAGAAACUAUAAUCUCUAACAAUAGAUCAGAUAAAGACAUGAAAAGCUUUUUAUUUUCUCUUCAGCUGGGAGCCAAGAAAUGAACACGAGCAAGUGUGUACUCUUUCCCAGCAAUCCAAACACCAGUCUGUGACCAUUGUACAUCUUCCCAAUCCAGAUUCUCCUCCAACACCUGUUUCUCAAUUCCACAAACAUCAUCAUCAUCACUUGUUUUAUAAUUAACAAAAAAAUACAAGAAUUUUACUAAAUUAAUGUUAACCUCGACGUGAUCUGGUGGGAGUGGAAACCCGAUAUCCCGCAUAAGCUUCUGCGGGAGAGGUUUCUUACAUCGUGACCAACGGAAAACAUCAAUUACACUGUUGUCUGAAUCUGUAUCUGUUUUUUCACCGUCUGUUGUCACAUGAGGGAGAGGUUUCCUCCAUCGUAACCAACGGAAAACGUUUAAGGAAAACAUGACAGAGUUGUUAUUGUUAUCCAUCUCCUUAGCUUCUUCGGAUGAUGAGUGUUGUUGUUGGGAGGCUUGGAAUUCUUUCAUAGUCUUCUCUCCAGCGAAACAGAGCUCAUACCUAUUUGCCAUACAAAAGAGUUUGAUUUAGCAUGUAACAAUAUCUCAUUAAUGUUGUUUGAUAUAAACAUGUGUUUAAAUACCUGGAUGAAUGUGUUUCAAGGUACAAAACUUCUCCUUUCUUCAAGCGAGCAGAGGUGAAAAGAGGCUUUUUCAGACCCUUAUCGGCCACAGCGCUUAUGCUAUAUUUGAUCCUGCAAGAAACAAAAAAGAAAAGUAAAUCAAUGCGUGGGUAAAAAGUGAUCUUAGAAGGUAAAGAUUAUCUAAAGCAUUGUGCGGAAGUUUUCAGAGAGUUUACCAAGGUUCAUUGCAGAGGUUGUAUUGUAUUGUUACUUCUCGAACAAACCUUUGUUGCCGCUGACCAUUCUACAGAACGGUAAACAAGUCAUCAGUACUGAAACAUGUCUAAUCAAAUUUUGAAAUGCAAGUGAAGUGAGGGAUAGAGAAUCAGAGAUUUUAAAGUACCGAAGCUGCAGCUCUGGUGGUCAUAGACUUAUCAACAGCCAUUGGUGCAAGUGUUGGCUCUGAGGAGUGUGUAAGAGAGGGUUCCAGUUCUAUAGUUCCACCUCCUUUCUGAAAUAAAAACACCAGUAAGGACUUGAAAAAGAAUCCACUUUUUAAACUGGAUAUUAUGAACAUCCUGCCAAGGAAACAAGGAGGACAGAUAACAAAGAGAUGUCAAAUUAAUAACCUUAAGUAUAUAGCACCGCUCAACUUUGUAACUGCAUCCGAUUCCAGCUCCCCAUGAUCGAGAGCGGACAUUGUUCCUUAGCUUGGAGGUAUAGUCUUAAAAUAUAAUAUAUAUCGAAUAUAAAAAGUUAGUAUGAACAUGGAAAAGUCAAUAAAAGCACAAAGAUAAAAACCUAACUUACAAUCUUGUGACGGCAAGACUCUAAUGGUAGCACGCAACUCUUGCAAUGUCGGUGGAGGAGGGGAAGAUGUAGGACGACAAUAACCUGUAUGCAUGAGAACUAGAAGACAUACCAGAAUCAGUGUUAUGUUAGUUCAAAGCCAAGGCAUGAAAUGCAAAGAUUCUUUAGGACACGUACCAGCAACAAGAUCUGAAUCAUCUGUGUAUAUGUCUGUUCCCCAUAGCUGGCCACCUCUUACCUUCAUAAAAAUAAGCCAAAGGUCUCAAUAUACAAUAAAAAAAGAUUAUGAGAAAGUCUUUGGAUGUAUCUUCGUCUUACUCGGCGGUUAGUAGCAGUAACAUACUCAGCUGGAAUCUGAACUUCAAGAGUGGGGCCAUUACUUGCGAACUCACCACUUUUGUCAGGCUGAGAAGAUUCAUAUUCCUUCCACAAUUUAAUCAGUUCUUGCAUACAUUCCCCAACGUUGUAAACAACAACCGGAACCUCUGAUUCGCCUGGAUCAUUCAGUAAAACAAAAAUUCAACAAGCUGUCGCUCUGACCAAAACUAUGUUCCAUAUAAAAGUUGAUAAAAGCAGCAGAAACUUGAUACAUGUGAGCUCAACCUUAUACUAAUCUUAUACUUGAUAAAAAAAACAAUGCAGAGAUAUAAGCAACUUUAAGCAACACAAAUGAAGUAGCAUUGGGGAUUGAAACCGACUUUUUGGUCCAAUCAUUUUAUAUUUUAACAUUCUACCGUUACUCUGCAACCUAAAGGCAAGCCUAAGAAGGAAACCUCAUAGAUUAAUUAUCAAGUACAAGUGUGUCGCAGAUGACCAUCAUCAAUGCACAUAUAAAAACGAAUGCCAGUUUAACCGAUUAUUUUUCUUUCACUAUUGUUCACCAAGCAGUGCAAAUCGAUCCUUUCUCGAAGACAUAGUAACGAAUGAUUACCUUGUACCCUGCAAAGAAAACACACACACAAUCAAACAUGGAUGAUGCAUUAGAAACCAGAUUAGUGACUGACAAAAGUUUAAGGACUUAGACCAAUCAACUAACUUACAUGGUAAAAGAAACGAAGGGAAAAUAAUCUUCUUAACACAGAGAGUAAGGGAGGCGGCAGGGAAGAAUAUCAAAAGAGACGGCAAAUUUAGGUUUUCAAGGUGCAAAAUUUUCUUUACAGGCUUUUUAAAAGAAAAGAAAACAAUAAUGGUAAUGAGAUAUUCUCAACAAUAAUCAAUAUCGCCUGCAGAUUUUACUAAAUAUGUUCAAAUUUCAACCAAUCCUGGCGUCUCUACUCUCUCCAAAAGGUAAAAAAAAUUAUAGGAUUAAGCUAAGAUAUGAGAGGCUAAUACUAAUUAGACAGCGUCUAAUAUAAAUGCGUAAGACAAAGAGACGCACGCAACCUUCGUAGUUGUCCUGACUCCGUGAACGGACACGGUCGUGGUUUGUGGGCUGUCACAUAUUCCUCUUGUGCAGGUUUUGGCAGAUGCUUCACCGAGCUCUUUCUCGUUCUGUGAGACCUCUUCAGCAUCAGUCUCUAGCUCUCUUUUAAUAUGAUCUUUUUUUUCUUCUCCUUCUUUCUUUCUCCAUCGUUCUGCUCCACCCUCUCUCUCGUUUCCCACCUAUCGGUUUAUUUUUCUUCGCUUCCAGUCUCUUUUGGUUCGCUCAUGACACACUAUCAGCAAACAUUGAUCCUCUGCGGUCAUUUCUAUCCUUAUCACGGGAUGCAACACACAGAUCCACAUUUGCGUUUGAACCUUCACCUCUCUUCCCUCUAUGUUAAUCCUUCUACUCUUUCCAAGCCAAGUGAGCAUGCCCAUCCUUAGUCUCAGCCUUUGUGUCGUUAUAGUUUCUGACCCUCCCUAUCAACACAUUGUUGAAAUGGCGGCUAAUGGUUUCACAAGAGAGGUGGAACCUCUCUUGUAUAACUCUGAUUCGCUGAUUAUGACCUAUAAUGCUUAAGAAUAUAGCAACCUGCUCUUCCACCAGAACAGUGAUGGUAUCUCUCAGCAGUCCUUGCUCUCUAAAAGUGUCGGAUAGUUUGUGAAACAGACGUUUAUCCAUCCGAAGCACUUCCCUGCAAUCUUCAACAGGUCCUUGAAGCAAGU